Long non-coding RNA from Manis pentadactyla (Chinese pangolin), 1468 nucleotides. RefSeq lists it as uncharacterized. NCBI's taxonomy places the organism in Eukaryota, Metazoa, Chordata, Mammalia, Pholidota, Manidae. The transcript is spliced from 4 exons. The record is from RefSeq and is a predicted model, not a curated record.
CGCCGGCCGAGCGCAGCCCUCGGCGCGCACGGAAGACGGGGAGAGCGGAGGAGGGAAGGAAGGAGGCCGAGCACCCGGGAAGGGCCGCGGCGUGAGACGGGUCUCCUCCUCGGUCUCUCGCCAGCGCCUUUGGGUGGGGCCUGUUGGGGGCCGCCGCCAGGGCCACCUUCCGUAGUCACGCCGGGAGAGGAUAAGUGCUCAUCCCUUAGGUUGGCCCGGAGGCUGCCCAGAGGACAGGACGAACCUGGAGUAGAAGAGGAUUUCCUAGAAGCCCGAGUACCCGACCCACAGUGGGCGCGCCCAUAUGCGAAUAGGUGGGCGGGGCCCUCGUGGUGGUAAACGGGGGCGGGGUCCAAGAUGUAAAUAAACCCUGGGCGAAGAUCUUUUAUGGGCAUUAGGGCCAGGGUACAGGAUGCCAGGUAUUUUUGUUUAACCAGUUAAGAAUAGUGUUAAUAAUUCAUGCUCUGCAUGAUCCUUGUAAAGAAUAAAAGAUAAGCGCCUAGUACGAUGCCCCUUAAUUGCUGCGUUGUCUUCUCUUCCCUUCAUUUCUCCGCUGUUCAGGUGAUAAAUUAAGUCCCAACUUUGCACAUCUGCACCACACAGCCCUAAGCUGCUGGCUGCCCAAAGCUGAUGGGGACGUAACUGCACUUGGAAAUUAAGGCUUCCCUGAGGAGGGUGCCUUCAGAUGGACCUGAGAAAAUAAUUGGCUGAGUCUUAACAGGUUUUUCAGAUUUCCUUUCAAAAUCUUCAUUUUCACCAUCUCUCUGCUCAAACACUGAAGUACUUUUCUCAUAGAAAGGUUAUGAUCAAGAACAUGAAUGAUGGCGUUGACAAACUGUAGUUGUGAAUGCAGCUCUGUUCCAUCUGAUCUUUAUUGUAAUUCCUGAAGGACAAGGACAGCAUCUUGUUCUCAGUUGUCUUCGCACAACCGAAGAUAAAAAAAAAACAAUUUUGUCUUCAAAAUUGAAAUAGAGCACUUGUAUAACAGAACAAUGCUAUAUUUGUGUCAUAAGUCUGCAAGCAUUCUACACAGCAUUACCACCCUUCCAGUUUAUAAUUGCCCUCAAUACAACUAUUGAGUAUCUUGUCCAAUCUCUGUAUUUGUUCAUCUUGGUAAAAUUAAGUCCCAGUGAGUGUUACUACAUCUUAAAGAUCCAGUUUAUUGCAACUGAAAAGACAUUAAAUGAGAUCACGUAAAUAAAAGCUGUGGAGAACAAAUGUGUGGAGUUUCUUUUAUUGAAAAUGAUAAUAAAGAAAUCCAGCACCCCUUGGAUAUUUAUCUCAAUACAAUGAAACUGCAUGUUUUAAAUGAACUAAUGUUGAAGAUGUGGACACCUGCCUCUAUAUUCAUACAUCACCCUUAUUUGCAUGCUAGUUUUUAUUAAAAAUAAAAAUAUAACAUCUAAUUGGAAAUGUUGGGAGACAGAAUAAAAUAUAUACAAGAAAAAAUUAAAUUCAGCAAGUGUUU